Molecule: ribosomal RNA, 467 nt
Filed under: uncultured Comamonadaceae bacterium
Lineage: Bacteria; Pseudomonadati; Pseudomonadota; Betaproteobacteria; Burkholderiales; Comamonadaceae
Description: bacterial SSU rRNA
Rfam family: Bacterial small subunit ribosomal RNA
Source: RNAcentral
UUCCUACGGGUGGCUGCAGUGGGGAAUUUUGGACAAUGGGCGAAAGCCUGAUCCAGCCAUGCCGCGUGCAGGAUGAAGGCCUUCGGGUUGUAAACUGCUUUUGUACGGAACGAAAAGACUCUGGUUAAUACCUGGGGUCCAUGACGGUACCGUAAGAAUAAGCACCGGCUAACUACGUGCCAGCAGCCGCGGUAAUACGUAGGGUGCAAGCGUUAAUCGGAAUUACUGGGCGUCAAGCGUGCGCAGGCGGGUAUAUAAGACAGAGGUGAAGUCCCCGGGCUCAACCUGGGAACUGCAUUUGUGACUGUAUAGCUAGAGUACGGCAGAGGGGGAUGGAAUUCCGCGUGUAGCAGUGAAAUGCGUAGAUAUGCGGAGGAACACCGAUGGCGAGGGCAAUCCCCUGGGCCUGUACUGACGCUCAUGCACGAAAGCGUGGGGAGCAAACAGGAUUAGAUACCCCAGUAGUC